UACGGAGGGUGCAAGCGUUGUUCGGAUUUAUUGGGCGUAAAGCGCGUGUAGGCGGUCUCUUAAGUCUGAUGUGAAAGCCCUGGGCUCAACCCAGGAAGUGCAUUGGAUACUGGGGGACUUGAAUACGGGAGAGGGUAGUGGAAUUCCUAGUGUAGGAGUGAAAUCCGUAGAUAUUAGGAGGAACACCGGUGGCGAAGGCGGCUACCUGGACCGAUAUUGACGCUGAGACGCGAAAGCGUGGGGAGCAAACAGG
This 253-nucleotide ribosomal RNA is filed under the name uncultured bacterium. RNAcentral describes it as "partial 16S ribosomal RNA". It matches the Rfam family "Bacterial small subunit ribosomal RNA", at positions 524 to 776 of the family's 1533-position model. The record is from RNAcentral.